CUGACAGUCCAGUGGGCAAUGAUCAGGAGACCACAGAGUGAGUGAAGUGUUCAGACAACCUGAUCUCACUCUGUAAUUCAAGGUAUUCUUGAACUCACUGUGUAGCCCAGGCUGGCCUCGAACUCAUGGCAAUCCUCCUGCCUCAACUUCUUGAAUGCUGGGAUUACAGUGCUUCUCCUCUGUGAUUCCCCUCUGCCAUGCCACCCUGCCCUGGAGCCAGCCAACUCUCUGGACUGAAACCUCUACAAACUACCAAUGUAUCUGAGCUGAACAUGAUCUCUACAACCUGCCUGAUAUCACAUUACCAUGCUGCACAUGGGUACAUAAAACUGUUGGACUGUUAUUUUAGAAGAUGAACAAGGAAGGACACAAUGACAUGGGUCAGCUGCUGCCUGGAAUAUACCUUCAUGGCAUGAUACAGCUGUUUAAUGGUCCACUGCUAGUUCCUCAAGGGAUCAAACUUGGGACCUUGCACUUGUGAGGCAGAUGGCAGAACCACUGAGCUAAAUCCCUGGCUGUUUCCAGAACUACUUUGGAAAGUGGCAAGAACAACUGGGUAUUUUGAGAGG
Molecule: long non-coding RNA, 569 nt
Filed under: Heterocephalus glaber (naked mole-rat)
Lineage: Eukaryota; Metazoa; Chordata; Mammalia; Rodentia; Bathyergidae
Description: lncRNA (ENSHGLG00000042728.1)
Source: RNAcentral